GUAUAUAUAGUUCAGUGGUAGAGUAUGUGCUUAGCACGCAUGAGGUCCUGGGUUCAAUCCCCAGUACAUCCA
RNAcentral lists this transfer RNA (72 nucleotides) under Camelus bactrianus (Bactrian camel). It matches the Rfam family "tRNA". Rfam says of the family: Transfer RNA (tRNA) molecules are approximately 80 nucleotides in length. Their secondary structure includes four short double-helical elements and three loops (D, anti-codon, and T loops). The record is from Rfam by way of RNAcentral. Lineage: Eukaryota; Metazoa; Chordata; Mammalia; Artiodactyla; Camelidae. RNAcentral also lists the same sequence under 2 other names.